GAAAUGCGAUAAGUAAUGUGAAUUGCAGAAUUCCGUGAAUCAUCGAAUCUUUGAACGCACAUUGCGCCCUCUGGUAUUCCGGGGGGCAUGCCUGUCCGAGCGUCAUUUCGAACCCCUCAAGCACGGCUUGUGUGAUGGGCCCUCCCGCGUCUUGGUCGUCAAGACGGGCCCGAAAUGCAGUGGCGGCUUCGCGGUUAUCCGAUCAGCCAGAGCGUAUGGGGACUUUCUCUCUGUCACACGCCCGCGGCGCGGACCGACGCCUGUCGACCUUUAUUCAUCUUUUUCUCGGUUGACCUCGGAUCAGGUAGGGAUACCCGCUGAACUUAAGC
Molecule: unclassified non-coding RNA, 329 nt
Filed under: plant metagenome
Description: partial contains 5.8S ribosomal RNA, internal transcribed spacer 2, and large subunit ribosomal RNA
Rfam family: 5.8S ribosomal RNA (bases 1-105)
Source: RNAcentral